Molecule: ribosomal RNA, 253 nt
Filed under: uncultured bacterium
Lineage: Bacteria
Description: partial 16S ribosomal RNA
Rfam family: Bacterial small subunit ribosomal RNA
Source: RNAcentral
UACAGAGGUCUCAAGCGUUGUUCGGAUUCAUUGGGCGUAAAGGGUGCGUAGGUGGCGUGGUAAGUCGGGUGUGAAAUUUCGGAGCUUAACUCCGAAACUGCAUUCGAUACUGCUGUGCUUGAGGACUGGAGAGGAGACUGGAAUUCACGGUGUAGCAGUGAAAUGCGUAGAGAUCGUAAGGAAGACCAGUGGCGAAGGCGGGUCUCUGGACAGUUCCUGACACUGAGGCACGAAGGCCAGGGGAGGAAACGGG